This 301-nucleotide ribosomal RNA is filed under the name uncultured bacterium. RNAcentral describes it as "partial 16S ribosomal RNA". It matches the Rfam family "Bacterial small subunit ribosomal RNA", at positions 509 to 809 of the family's 1533-position model. The record is from RNAcentral.
CAGCAGCCGCGGUAAUACGUAGGUGGCAAGCGUUGUCCGGAAUUAAUGGGCGUAAAGGGCUCGCAGGCGGUUUCUUAAGUCUGAUGUGAAAGCCCCCGGCUCAACCGGGGAGGGUCAUUGGAAACUGGGAAACUUGAGUGCAGAAGAGGAGAGUGGAAUUCCACGUGUAGCGGUGAAAUGCGUAGAGAUGUGGAGGAACACCAGUGGCGAAGGCGACUCUCUGGUCUGUAACUGACGCUGAGGAGCGAAAGCGUGGGGAGCGAACAGGAUUAGAUACCCCCGUAGUCCCUGUCUCUUAUAU